AUAACGGCCUGUCAGCCCCUAAGAAGAGAUGAAGAAAUUUAUCUCCCCCCACCUUGUUAGAGAGAUGGGGGUCUAUGAUGUGCAAAUCAAGUCAGAACUUUUAUUAGUAUUCACUGUCAUUAGCUUUUAGGUUGGCUUUGCCCAUUUUUAUUUUUGCAAUGAAAAGCUCAUUGUCUAGGGAUUUAGAUGUGCCAAGUGAGAGAACAUGAGGGGUUUGUUCAGAGGAGUAUAAUCAGAACAAAUGAUUAUGAUGUAAGGACAAAAAUAAUUGAUGUAAAGAGUGGGAAAAAAAUCAAUCUAUCAAGACUUAAACUAUUAAUCUUUUCCUAUACAACAACCUAACAGGUCUUUGUUUUGCUAUGAUAAAAAAAAAAAUAACUGACAUUUUUAUGAUAAAAUAUAAUAUGUGGCCCUCUAUAUUAUCCAAAGACCCCUUCAGACGAUGAACAUAUUGGCAAAGGUGAUUAGCUUUUGUUCAUAUACUAAAGCCUGAGUUAAAGAAACAGGAAAAAAGCAAACUUUUAGGAGAGAGAUAAUUAAAUGAGAUUGAGACAUUGUCACUGAGAAAAAGAUUGGGGAGAAUGGACAGGGAAUUGGCAAAGAAACACCCAAACCAAAAUGUUCCUAUUUCCUAAUCUUGUUCCUUCCCUACUUUAAACCUCUACAAGCCCAGGGACAAGACUGGGUUUUCUAGAAAGUUCCCCUGCCCUGCCCACUUGACUAUAGCCCUGCCUAAUGCCAUCACCUUCUAUGACAUCAUGGGGAUGGAAUGAAAGUCCUGAGCGAGAGGCUUGAGAAUAUGCAGGUCGGACAGGAAGGCAUCAUUUGGAAAAGAAAAGCGGUGUUAUCCAGAAGAGUUGGUGCUGCUUCUGUGGAGAAAAAACAGAGCAUCCUAAUAUUGCUGAUUUUGUCGCUCUAUGUGGCCAUGUGGAUAUCAGAAAAAAGCGCAGACAGCACAAAAGGGAUCCAAGAAUGCAAUUACUCUAGGAGUCAUGAAGCUUCCAAGAGCUUUGAUGAUCAAUUCAAGAAUCAACCAAAGGAACCAGUGAGGGCUAUGGGACUAUGGUUGAGAGAGAACCUGGACACCCUUCAGGAGAGAAUGGAACAAGAAGAAUAUCUAUUUGACAACUCUAUGGAGGAUGGUUUCAAGAGUGGAGCCUGGAGACAAGGAAGCAAAUUAGGAGACUCCUUCAAUAGUCCAGAGGCAAGAAUAAGUAUUUGGAUGCUGAGUGACCUGCCUCCUGGACCCUCCUCCUUGUGUGACCAUCCCUUUCAAAUAGAUGGAACUUUCAAAUAA
Molecule: long non-coding RNA, 1297 nt
Organism: Monodelphis domestica (gray short-tailed opossum)
Lineage: Eukaryota; Metazoa; Chordata; Mammalia; Didelphimorphia; Didelphidae
Source: Ensembl